Molecule: ribosomal RNA, 253 nt
Filed under: uncultured bacterium
Lineage: Bacteria
Description: partial 16S ribosomal RNA
Rfam family: Bacterial small subunit ribosomal RNA
Source: RNAcentral
UACGUAGGGGGCGAGCGUUGUCCGGAAUUACUGGGCGUAAAGCGCUUGUAGGCGGUCCACCAAGUUUGGGGUGACAGUUGCCGACUUAAUCGGCAAAGUGCCUCAAAGACUGGCGGACUUGAGGGCCACAGAGGGACAUGGAACUCCAGGUGUAGUGGUGAAAUGCGUAGAUAUCUGGAAGAACACCAAAGGCGAAGGCAGUGUCCUGGGUGGUCGCUGACGCUGAGAGGCGAAAGCCAGGGGAGCGAACGGG